AGCCAAGGGGGAGGAUGCUGUCACAGGUGGCAGCAGAUCAUGGCCAGGCAGCAACCCACACUGCCAGAUUGCUACAGUGGGUAGAGGAUGCAAGGGCCACUCUAGGUUAGGGCUGCUUCUGCAGUCCAGCUUGAACAAGUGACUAGGGUCCACAUAUAUCC
Long non-coding RNA from Gavialis gangeticus (Gharial), 161 nucleotides. RefSeq lists it as uncharacterized. The record is from RefSeq and is a predicted model, not a curated record. The transcript has 3 exons. NCBI's taxonomy places the organism in Eukaryota, Metazoa, Chordata, Crocodylia, Gavialidae.